AAGCAACUGCAAGUCUGCAACAGAGUCACUCACUCUGGAGGAGAUUGGAGAAAGAGGUCACAUCGGUCCACAGCAGCCUCUGAGCCUAUCGAGUCCGCCCAGUCCUGCUUGUGUUCCCCUUCCCUUCCCAGCUGGGCCCCUUUGCUGCUAGAGAGAGUGCUGAUAGCAGAACAACAGAGAGAGACUCACUGAGAGCAAGCAUUGCAAGUUUGCAAGAAGUUGUGUUGCAGUGUUGUUGCGUCUGAGAAGACAUGAUGAUGGAGCCCUCCUCCGAGUCAGACUCAGGGGUCUCAUGUAGAUGUUAAAAAGCAUUGGAGACAAUAUGAAGCCCUCGAGGACACCAUAUAAAAGUUCAGAUUUUGGAGAACAACAGUCUUCCAGGGACACCAUCUGGAAUCUGCCCGACAAGUAGGAGUGGGACCAGCGUAAAGCAGUGCCUCCCAACCCCCUCAGAUGCUCCAGAAGGAUACUAUGUUCUUCUGAAGCAUGAGAUUUGCCAAGGAUACCACAGACAGUGAGACUCUUCAUCAUUAUAAUCCCCCGCCCCCUGCUUUUGGUAUACAUGGAAGUGCCAGCUGAUGACAGGAAUGAAGAUGCUUUCUGCUUUGAAAAGCCAACACAGAAACCAGUAGAGCAGACAGCUUAAGCAUGGUGUCUCUAGUGCUGGAAAGGAAAAGCAGACCUUCUGAAGGAUACAAUGCCCCUGGCUCCUUCCAGCAAGAGAGAGAGACACUAGUUUGAAAGUAAGAGCAGGAAGAAGACUCCUUCAGGAAUCAAAGGCAGAUGUCCAUUUGCCUGACAUCAUGACCCAUCUCCCCGAGUGUUUGCUUCUAUCCAUAACCGAACUCUGCUUAAUCUCAUUUGUUGCUCCUAUAACCAUUUCUGAUCCAAUUUCUGGUAGUAAUAAAAUCCUAUUUUAAAUGUCUUGAGGUUGCUGUAUGCCCAACUGGAAAACUUCUAUUUGGUUUGCAUGUGGUAACCAGAAAGCUCAAGUCAAUCUGUAACCUCCCACCUCUUCCCUCCCUUCUCUCUCCCCUGCCAGCCCCCUGGAUUGCACUUGUACAGACUAUGGCUUCUCAAUUCUCAAAAGAAUGCUGCACAGAUCUUGUUCAUAUCACUUACAUCGGAUUCCCAGCAGUAAGGACAGGUUAGGCUCCUUGCCCUGAGCUCUAUGGGUAAGAAUACUGCAAAGUGCUUUCAAGUCAAACAGACAGUGAGACAUUUCCUUGAACAACUGGUCAGCCACAGGCAGUUUUUCAGCCACUGGCUGCCUGGACUGUUCCAUCUGGUGAAUCUGUUCCCUCAAAGAGGCAUUUUCUUCCAUAAAUCUUUGGUUCUACAUAAAAAGAAAAGAAAAGAAAUGGCAACCAUUUAUUCACUUGGAUUUUUCUAAUAAAAUGAACAAAACA
Hemicordylus capensis (graceful crag lizard) is the source of this 1409-nucleotide long non-coding RNA. RefSeq lists it as uncharacterized. Lineage: Eukaryota; Metazoa; Chordata; Lepidosauria; Squamata; Cordylidae. The record is from RefSeq and is a predicted model, not a curated record. The transcript is spliced from 5 exons.